Long non-coding RNA from Anguilla rostrata (American eel), 463 nucleotides. RefSeq lists it as uncharacterized. Lineage: Eukaryota; Metazoa; Chordata; Actinopteri; Anguilliformes; Anguillidae. The transcript is spliced from 2 exons. The record is from RefSeq and is a predicted model, not a curated record.
AUGCAGUUCUUUUAAGAUGGAAUGGCUGUCGGAGUAUGUGCAAAUUGAAGAAAAAGCGGGUAAGAGCUAAAGGAGAUCUCACAGCUUGUGGAUAUUUGUGCUACAUUUCAAGCUUCCAGUGCCGACUGUGAAAGAGGAUUUAGUUUAAUUAAUCAUAUCAAAACAAAAUCCAGAAAUCGUCUUGAAGUGACACAUUUGGACCAGCUGAUGCGCAUAAAGUCAAAGCAAGAAGCAGACGAAGCCAUCAACCUGGACAAAGUGUACAACCAUUGGAGAAGUGAGAAGGACAGACGUGAAAAAUAAGAACAGGACCCUCAGCCAGGCAAAGCAGGACUCUUCCCAUGGCCAAAGCAGGACUCUCACAUACUGUAUAACAUCUACACAUCCCAUUUUUCAGAUUUUUGUCUUUUUUUAAGUGGACCAAAUUACUUAUUUAAAAAUAAAGCGUGCAUAUCUAAUGUUG